RNAcentral lists this non-coding RNA (260 nucleotides) under Acidaminococcus intestini. Its description in RNAcentral is "T-box sequence". It matches the Rfam family "T-box leader". From Rfam's summary of the family: Uncharged tRNA acts as the effector for transcription antitermination of genes in the T-box leader family. Lineage: Bacteria; Bacillati; Bacillota; Negativicutes; Acidaminococcales; Acidaminococcaceae. The record is from RNAcentral.
AGAGAUGCAUUGAAGGGAAAGAGUACGUUUCAGGAAAACCUCCAGAGAGUUGCCGGGUGGUGCAAGGCAGCGGCGGACCGAAACCGAACUGAUCCCUGAGCAGCUUUCCUGAACCCGCGCAUGACAGUAGGGGAAGCCGGCUCCUGACCGUUAUCAAUCAGGGCGGUAUCGAUGGACACGUCAUCCGUACCGGCUAAGGGCACACCAAAUGGUGUGAAGUGGAGUGGUACCGCGCAAGAUUUGAAUCUUUCGUCUCUCAC